GUGAGUAACGCGUGAGAAUCUAGCUCUAGGUCGGGGACAACCACUGGAAACGGUGGCUAAUACCGGAUGUGCCGAAAGGUGAAAGAUUUAUUGCCUAGAGAUGAGCUCGCGUCUGAUUAGCUAGUUGGUGUGGUAAGAGCGCACCAAGGCGACGAUCAGUAGCUGGUCUGAGAGGAUGAUCAGCCACACUGGGACUGAGACACGGCCCAGACUCCUACGGGAGGCAGCAGUGGGGAAUUUUCCGCAAUGGGCGAAAGCCUGACGGAGCAAUACCGCGUGAGGGAGGAAGGCUCUUGGGUUGUAAACCUCUUUUCUCAGGGAAUAAGAAAGUGAAGGUACCUGAGGAAUAAGCAUCGGCUAACUCCGUGCCAGCAGCCGCGGUAAUACGGAGGAUGCAAGCGUUAUCCGGAAUGAUUGGGCGUAAAGCGUCCGCAGGUGGCACUGUAAGUCUGCUGUUAAAGAGCAAGGCUCAACCUUGUAAAGGCAGUGGAAACUACAGAGCUAGAGUACGUUCGGGGCAGAGGGAAUUCCUGGUGUAGCGGUGAAAUGCGUAGAGAUCAGGAAGAACACCGGUGGCGAAAGCGCUCUGCUAGGCCGUAACUGACACUGAGGGACGAAAGCUAGGGGAGCGAAUGGGAUUAGAUACCCCAGUAGUCCUAGCCGUAAACGAUGGAUACUAGGCGUGGCUUGUAUCGACCCGAGCCGUGCCGGAGCCAACGCGUUAAGUAUCCCGCCUGGGGAGUACGCACGCAAGUGUGAAACUCAAAGGAAUUGACGGGGGCCCGCACAAGCGGUGGAGUAUGUGGUUUAAUUCGAUGCAACGCGAAGAACCUUACCAAGAAUUGACAUGUCGCGAAUCUUCUUGAAAGGGAAGAGUGCCUUAGGGAGCGCGAACACAGGUGGUGCAUGGCUGUCGUCMGCUCGUGUCGUGAGAUGUUGGGUUAAGUCCCGCAACGAGCGCAACCCUCGUUUUUAGUUGCCAGCAUUAAGUUGGGCACUCUAGAGAGACUGCCGGUGACAAACCGGAGGAAGGUGGGGAUGACGUCAAGUCAGCAUGCCCCUUACGUCUUGGGCUACACACGUACUACAAUGCUACGGACAGAGGGCAGCAAGCUAGCGAUAGCAAGCAAAUCCCGUAAACCGUAGCUCAGUUCAGAUCGCAGGCUGCAACUCGCCUGCGUGAAGGAGGAAUCGCUAGUAAUUGCAGGUCAGCAUACUGCAGUGAAUUCGUUCCCGGGCCUUGUACACACCGCCCGUCACACCAUGGAAGCUGGUCACGCC
Molecule: ribosomal RNA, 1281 nt
Filed under: Nostocales cyanobacterium PMC 1147.19
Lineage: Bacteria; Bacillati; Cyanobacteriota; Cyanophyceae; Nostocales
Description: bacterial SSU rRNA
Source: RNAcentral